ACACAUUUAAUUUAAUAACACCCCCUCAUCAUUCUAGUCACACCCCCUAGACACAUUAAAUUCAACCAAAUGCCCAAAGUGCCUCUAUCUAUGAUCAUAUUCAAGUUUCAAAACACUUUUCUCUCUUAUCCAUGUUCAAAUUGUAGUGAUUUUUUUAAUUUAUUACUAUUAUGCGAUCUUUGACGUACAACAUGAACAAAUUCAUUGACGUACAACAUGAACAAAUUCUUCAUCAAAGUAACUGUUGAUAGGUAAAUACACUGCUACAAAUUCUCAGUUCAUAUUUCUCUUAAGUGGUAGAGAGCUUCCUAGAGUAAACGAUAUACAUGGGAUCAGAGCGUCCGGGAUUUGGAGAUAUAUCCACAGCCUACAAAAAGAAAAGACAUUGGCCUCAGCAUUGGUAACACUGUCACAUGAUAACAUCAUAUACAACAUUGUAGAGGCUUUCAUAUUUGUUUCAUGACUAGUAAAAGAAAAUUCUGUUUAAUAUAUAGGGAAAACAAGAGGUUGAAUUAAUUACCCUUCAGCAGUACCUUAAACUAUACUAUUUAGUAUGUUAUAACUGAAGUUUGUCCUAACAAAAUGGGAAAAUAUCAGUGAGAUUUACCUGAGGAGGUUCAAAUCCUCCAGCAUAAUGAAAAUACGACCCAACAAUCAUAACGUGAUCAGCAUCUCCAGUUGAAGUCCAUAUAGAAAUGGCCUUUGUAAAGAAGCAUCGGUUUGAGAAGCUGGAAUCAUUCAUCCUUAGUUGAGUAGGAUAUUGUAAGAUAUACAAGACCAAUAAUAGAUAUAACAUUGUAAAAUAGAGAAAUGUUAUUACUGAAAAGAUAUGAUCGCAUAUCAUGUUCAUUGCGUGAACCAUGCCCUGAGAAGUAGAAUAGGAUAUGAUCGCCCGACAUAGAAUUAUGUAGCAUGUCCUUCAAUUCAAAUCGUUCAUUAUACAUUGUGAACGGUUGAUAAGAUACGGACCGUUAUCCGUCACAAAGAUAAUAUUUUCUUCUUGAAACCCAUAUGAUUUAAUCAAUGAAAGUUUCAAAAGUUCGGCAUAUUUCACAUAACACAAUCUAUUGAACAUGUUCUGCGGAAACUCAGAGUGUAGUAUUCUUCCUACUGUUAUUACUGGUACUUACGCAAAUUAAUAAAUUUUAUUGAAUUUAUGUUUCAAUGUCUGGAUAUCAUUUAAAUUAUUUCAUUUUCUUUGCAGAAAAAGAUUUAAAUUCUUGUGCGGUCUUGUUACCGGAUUCGGUAUUUUUAACAGUGACAAUGGAUUGUUGCUAUAGUGGCGGGGUUUUUUAAAUCGAUAAAACAACAGGUACUCUGUAAGCCAAGAAGAGGGUUUGGCGCUAUUUCAGAGUUUACAUAUUUUCAAAAGCUACUCGAUAGGCCAAGAGGGUUAGGGGAAGUUCCACAUUUUCAAAGUGAAGCAGAUUUUGAAAGUGAAGACAAUGGAACACAAUGGAAACGAAUAUGCUUUAUUUCCUCGUCUGACAGAAAUCAAGUUUCAUACGACAGUAAAAGAAUAUUUCGAGAAUGCAUUUCCGCUUUUUCCGACGCUCUAUUAAGCUGCAUGGGCAGGGAAGGAGACCUCAGCAAUUUUGAAUUGACGAGGGAGAUAAACAACAUUUUAGCUUAUACUUGCUCAAUUCAAACGGCUUGUCUAAAGUGUGAUAACAAUUUAUCACCUAAAUUGUUUCUAGAUGGAAAAGAAAAGAAUUAAUAGCAAUGAAGUAUAUGCCUCGUGGUUUGAACUAUAGAUCAAUGAUGUUCGUGAUGUGACCUGGUGGUAGGAUGUUUUGUAAGAUGUUUUGUGCUUGAGAUGUCAUUAACAUGUGGUUUUGUGCUUGAGAUGUCAUUAACAUGUGGUUUGAUGCUGUGGAUUCAUCGAAAAAGUCUCUAAAUUAGUUGAUGAUUUCUAAAUAAAUCUUUAAACUUAAAGAUUUUAAUUUUGUCCCUAAAAUUUGAAUAAUUUAUAAUUAGAUUUUUAAAUUUAGGAUAUAAUUAUAAAUUAUAGAGUAUUAGAAACCUAAUUAUAAUAUUUUUUGUUACAAAAAGCUACUUAAAAUUCUCUAACUAGUUUAAUCAAAGCCUAAAAAACUAGUUUAAUCAAAAGGAAAAUGUUCAAACCUAUGUUUACUGAGCCCACAUAUGAAUUGUUUUCAAAACACAUUUAAUUUAAUAACACCCCCUCAUCAUUCUAGUCACACCCCCUAGACACAUUAAAUUCAACCAAAUGCCCAAAGUGCCUCUAUCUAUGAUCAUAUUCAAGUUUCAAAACACUUUUCUCUCUUAUCCAUGUUCAAAUUGUAGUGAUUUUUUUAAUUUAUUACUAUUAUGCGAUCUUUGACGUACAACAUGAACAAAUUCAUUGACGUACAACAUGAACAAAUUCUUCAUCAAAGUAACUGUUGAUAGGUAAAUACACUGCUACAAAUUCUCAGUUCAUAUUUCUCUUAAGUGGUAGAGAGCUUCCUAGAGUAAACGAUAUACAUGGGAUCAGAGCGUCCGGGAUUUGGAGAUAUAUCCACAGCCUACAAAAAGAAAAGACAUUGGCCUCAGCAUUGGUAACACUGUCACAUGCUAACAUCAUAUACAACAUUGUAGAGGCUUUCAUAUUUGUUUCAUGACUAGUAAAAGAAAAUUCUGUUUAAUAUAUAGGGAAAACAAGAGGUUGAAUUAAUUACCCUUCAGCAGUACCUUAAACCAUACUAUUUAGUAUGUUAUAACUGAAGUUUGUCCUAACAAAAUGGGAAAAUAUCAGUGAGAUUUACCUCAGGAGGUUCAAAUCCUCCAGCAUAAUGAAAAUACGAUCCAACAAUCAUAACGUGAUCAGCAUCUCCAGUUGAAGUCCAUAUAGAAAUGGCCUUUGUAAAGAAGCAUCGGUUUGAGAAGCUGGAAUCAUUCAUCCUUAGUUGAGUAGGAUAUUGUAAGAUAUACAAGACCAAUAAUAGAUAUAACAUUGUAAAAUAGAGAAAUGUUAUUACUGAAAAGAUAUGAUCGCAUAUCAUGUUCAUUGCGUGAACCAUGCCCUGAGAAGUAGAAUAGGAUAUGAUCGCCCGACAUAGAAUUAUGUAGCAUGUCCUUCAAUUCAAAUCGUUCAUUAUACAUUGUGAACGGUUGAUAAGAUACGGACCGUUAUCCGUCACAAAGAUAAUAUUUUCUUCUUGAAACCCAUAUGAUUUAAUCAAUGAUUUAAUCAAUGAAAGUUUCAAAAGUUCGGCAUAUUUCACAUAACACAAUCUAUUGUACAUGUUCUGUGGAAACUCAGAGUGUAGUAUUCUUCCUACUGUUAUUACUGGUACUUACGCAAAUUAAUAAAUUUUAUUGAAUUUAUGUUUCAAUGUCUGGAUAUCAUUUAAAUUAUUUCAUUUUCUUUGCAGAAAAAGAUUUAAAUUCUUGUGCGGUCUUGUUACCGGAUUCAAUAUUUUUAACAGUGACAAUGGAUUGUUGCUAUAGUGGUGGGUUUUUUAAAUCGAUAAAACAACAGGUACUCUGUAAGCCAAGAAGAGGGUUUGGCGUUAUUUCAGAUUUUACAGAUUUUCAAAAGCUACUCGAUAGGCCAAGAGGGUUAGGCGAAGUUCCACAUUUUCAAAGUGAAGCAGAUUUUGAAAGUGAAGACAAUGGAACACAGUGGAAACGAAUAUGCUUUAUUUCCUCGUCUGACAGAAAUCAAGUUUCAUACGACAGUAAAAGAAUAUUUCGAGAAUGCAUUUCCGCUUUUUCCGACGCUCUAUUAAGCUGCAUGGGCAGGGAAGGAGACCUCAACAAUUUUGAAUUGACGAGGGAGAUAAACAACAUUUUAGCUUAUACUUGCUCAAUUCAAACGGCUUGUCUAAAGUGUGAUAAUAAUUUAUCACCUAAAUUGUUUCUAGAUGGAAAAGAAAAGAAUUAAUAGCAAUGAAGUAUAUGCCUCGUGUUUUGAACUAUAGAUCAAUGAUGUUCGUGAUGUGACCUGGUGGUAGGAUGUUUUGUAAGAUGUUUUGUGCUUGAGAUGUCAUUAACAUGUGGUUUGAUGAUGUGGAUUCAUCGAAAAAGUCUCUAAAUUAGUUGAUGAUUUCUAAAUAAAUCUUUAAACUUAAAGAUUUUAAUUUUGUCCCUAAAAUUUGAAUAAUUUAUAAUUAGAUUUUUAAAUUUAGGAUCUAAUUAUAAAUUAUAGAGUAUUAGAAACCUAAUUAUAAUAUUUUUUGUUACAAAAAGCUACUUAAAAUUCUCUACAAAGUUUAAUCAAAGCCUAAAAAACUAGUUUAAUCAAAAGGAAAAUGUUCAAACCUAUGUUUACUGAGCCCACAUAUGAAUUGUUUUCAAAACACAUUUAAUUUAAUAACACCCCCUCAUCAUUCUAGUCACACCCCCUAGACACAUUAAAUUCAACCAAAUGCCCAAAGUGCCUCUAUCUAUGAUCAUAUUCAAGUUUCAAAACACUUUUCUCUCUUAUCCAUGUUCAAAUUGUAGUGAUUUUUUUAAUUUAUUACUAUUAUGCGAUCUUUGACGUACAACAUGAACAAAUUCAUUGACGUACAACAUGAACAAAUUCUUCAUCAAAGUAACUGUUGAUAGGUAAAUACACUGCUACAAAUUCUCAGUUCAUAUUUCUCUUAAGUGGUAGAGAGCUUCCUAGAGUAAACGAUAUACAUGGGAUCAGAGCGUCCGGGAUUUGGAGAUAUAUCCACAGCCUACAAAAAGAAAAGACAUUGGCCUCAGCAUUGGUAACACUGUCACAUGAUAACAUCAUAUACAACAUUGUAGAGGCUUUCAUAUUUGUUUCAUGACUAGUAAAAGAAAAUUCUGUUUAAUAUAU
Molecule: long non-coding RNA, 4795 nt
Filed under: Cicer arietinum (chickpea)
Lineage: Eukaryota; Viridiplantae; Streptophyta; Magnoliopsida; Fabales; Fabaceae
Description: long non-coding RNA (CARI_LNC002643)
Source: RNAcentral